Artibeus jamaicensis (Jamaican fruit-eating bat) is the source of this 107-nucleotide small nuclear RNA. NCBI's taxonomy places the organism in Eukaryota, Metazoa, Chordata, Mammalia, Chiroptera, Phyllostomidae. The record is from RefSeq and is a predicted model, not a curated record.
GUGCUCACUUCAGCAGCACAUAUACUAAAAUUGGAAUGUUACAGAGAAGAUUAGUAUGACCCCUGUGCAAGGAUUACACACACAUUUGUGAAGCAUUCCAUAUUUUU